UACGUAGGGUGCAAGCGUUGUUCGGAAUCAUUGGGCGUAAAGCGCGUGUAGGUGGUUUGUUAAGUCGGGUGUGAAAUCCCUGGGCUCAACCGAGGAAGUGCAUCCGAAACUAACAAGCUAGAAGAUGGCAGAGGAAGGUGGAAUUCCUAGUGUAGAGGUGAAAUUCGUAGAUAUUAGGAGGAAUACCGGUGGCGAAGGCGGCCUUCUGGACCAUUCUUGACACUGAGACGCGAAAGCGUGGGUAGCAAACAGG
Molecule: ribosomal RNA, 253 nt
Filed under: uncultured bacterium
Lineage: Bacteria
Description: partial 16S ribosomal RNA
Rfam family: Bacterial small subunit ribosomal RNA
Source: RNAcentral